Molecule: small nuclear RNA, 106 nt
Organism: Rattus norvegicus (Norway rat)
Lineage: Eukaryota; Metazoa; Chordata; Mammalia; Rodentia; Muridae
Source: Ensembl
GCACUCAUUUUGGCAGAACGUUUUCUAAAAUUGAUACAAUAUAGAGAAGAUUAGCCUGGCCUUGAACAGGGAUAACAUACAAAUUCAUGACUUUUUACAGCUAAAU